UUUAGACCUGAAAUCAGUCGAGACAACCCGCUGAAGGAA
RNAcentral lists this ribosomal RNA (39 nucleotides) under Cyclospora cayetanensis. RNAcentral describes it as "partial large subunit ribosomal RNA". Lineage: Eukaryota; Apicomplexa; Conoidasida; Eucoccidiorida; Eimeriidae. The record is from RNAcentral.